GAUGAACGCUGGCGGCGUGCCUAAUACAUGCAAGUCGAGCGAACAGAUGAGGAGCUUGCUCCUCUGACGUUAGCGGCGGACGGGUGAGUAACACGUGGAUAACCUACCUAUAAGACUGGGAUAACUUCGGGAAACCGGAGCUAAUACCGGAUAAUAUAUUGAACCGCAUGGUUCAAUAGUGAAAGACGGUUUUGCUGUCACUUAUAGAUGGAUCCGCGCCGCAUUAGCUAGUUGGUAAGGUAACGGCUUACCAAGGCGACGAUGCGUAGCCGACCUGAGAGGGUGAUCGGCCACACUGGAACUGAGACACGGUCCAGACUCCUACGGGAGGCAGCAGAAGGGAAUCUUCCGCAAUGGGCGAAAGCCUGACGGAGCAACGCCGCGUAAGUGAUGAAGGUCUUCGGAUCGUAAAACUCUGUUAUUAGGGAAGAACAAAUGUGUAAGUAACUAUGCACGUCUUGACGGUACCUAAUCAGAAAGCCACGGCUAACUACGUG
RNAcentral lists this ribosomal RNA (497 nucleotides) under uncultured bacterium. Its description in RNAcentral is "partial 16S ribosomal RNA". It matches the Rfam family "Bacterial small subunit ribosomal RNA", at positions 28 to 507 of the family's 1533-position model. The record is from RNAcentral.